RNAcentral lists this long non-coding RNA (746 nucleotides) under Triticum aestivum (bread wheat). RNAcentral describes it as "long non-coding RNA (TAES_LNC012532)". Lineage: Eukaryota; Viridiplantae; Streptophyta; Magnoliopsida; Poales; Poaceae. The record is from RNAcentral.
UCCUAUGAUGCAUAAAAGGAUUAAUUUUCGAAGAGUUUGAUGUGUUGCACCCAGCUGUUCCUAAGCAAGAUAAUCGGUAUCUUUUUUUUGCCCUUUUCAUGUUUUUUUUUUAAUUUUAUAUAGUUUCUAUGAAAGCUUCUUUUCUUAUUUGUGUUCUUUGUAACUUUUCAGCCAUGACUGUGGUGUCUUUACAUUUAAGUAUAUGGAUAUCUUCACACCAAGAACUCAGAUGUCAAUCCUUUUCUCUAGUGUAGACAUUCCAAAUCUUAGGAUCAAAUAUGUGAAUGACAUGCAUUUUCAGCCCCUUGAACAGUUCUGACAAAUCUUUUGUCACUGAUUUCUUUGGUGAUGUAUGUUCUUAUUUUCCUUGUCAUCUGUUUCAUUUUCUUCUUCUUUUUCGCUUUUAUUUUCUUUUACUAAUCCGGGUCUCUCUGAAUUUUUUUGUGUAGGGAGGCAAUGCCAAGUGAGGUUCAGCAUGUGCGCAGUCCUAGCUCAAAUGGUGACUGAGUUUUAUUUUUCAGUAGCAUGUAAUCUAAACAAAGUAGCAUGCAAUCUGAGCAUAGUAGUAUUUGUUUAGUAGUGGUUCUAUGUUUCAUUUUGAUUGUAAGGUUGUUGGAUACUGUCAUGUCUUUAUGCCUGUGACUCGGCAGUACGUAUUUGAGCACGUUAAUACUACAGUGCUUAAAAAAAUUGAUUCUAUAUCAGGGGUCCCUUUCUUAAUGAUCAUUGUUCCUUGUAUCUCAUUU